AAAUUGAAGAGUUUGAUCAUGGCUCAGAUUGAACGCUGGCGGCAGGCCUAACACAUGCAAGUCGAACGGUAGCACAGAGAGCUUGCUCUCGGGUGACGAGUGGCGGACGGGUGAGUAAUGUCUGGGAAACUGCCUGAUGGAGGGGGAUAACUACUGGAAACGGUAGCUAAUACCGCAUAACGUCGCAAGACCAAAGAGGGGGACCUUCGGGCCUCUUGCCAUCAGAUGUGCCCAGAUGGGAUUAGCUAGUAGGUGGGGUAACGGCUCACCUAGGCGACGAUCCCUAGCUGGUCUGAGAGGAUGACCAGCCACACUGGAACUGAGACACGGUCCAGACUCCUACGGGAGGCAGCAGUGGGGAAUAUUGCACAAUGGGCGCAAGCCUGAUGCAGCCAUGCCGCGUGUAUGAAGAAGGCCUUCGGGUUGUAAAGUACUU
This 436-nucleotide ribosomal RNA is filed under the name Enterobacter cloacae. Its description in RNAcentral is "bacterial SSU rRNA". It matches the Rfam family "Bacterial small subunit ribosomal RNA", at positions 1 to 435 of the family's 1533-position model. The record is from RNAcentral. Lineage: Bacteria; Pseudomonadati; Pseudomonadota; Gammaproteobacteria; Enterobacterales; Enterobacteriaceae. RNAcentral also lists the same sequence under 3 other names.